AUUAAUUCCCCAUAGUACAAUAUAAUAUCGCAUGAAAUAAUUGUUAAAGAUUUAUCGGUUAAAGAUGGGCAUGCGUCUGAUUAGCUUGUUGGUAAGGUAACGGCUUACCAAGGCAACGAUCAGUAGGGGGUCUGAGAGGAUGAUCCCCCACACUGGUACUGAGACACGGACCAGACGUGUACGGACGGCAGCAGUAAGGAAUAUUGGGCAAUGGGCGCAAGCCUGACCCAGCCAUGCCGCGUGCAGGAUGACGACCCUAUGG
This 262-nucleotide ribosomal RNA is filed under the name uncultured bacterium. Its description in RNAcentral is "partial 16S ribosomal RNA". It matches the Rfam family "Bacterial small subunit ribosomal RNA", at positions 162 to 422 of the family's 1533-position model. The record is from RNAcentral.